Molecule: ribosomal RNA, 393 nt
Filed under: uncultured bacterium
Lineage: Bacteria
Description: partial 16S ribosomal RNA
Rfam family: Bacterial small subunit ribosomal RNA
Source: RNAcentral
AUACGGAGGAUGCAAGCGUUAUCCGGAUUUAUUGGGUUUAAAGGGUGCGUAGGCGGUUUGCUAAGCGGGAGGUGAAAUGCCGGCGCCCAACGUCGGAAGUGCCUCCCGAACUGGUGGACUGGAAUGACUCUGCCGUGGGAGGAAUGUGUAGUGUAGCGGUGAAAUGCUUAGAGAUUACACAGAACACCGAUUGCGAAGGCAUCUCACGAAGGGUUGAUUGACGCUGAGGCACGAAAGCGUGGGGAUCAAACAGGAUUAGAUACCCUGGUAGUCCACGCAGUAAACGAUGAUGGCUAACCGCUGGUUUAUUCGGAUCAGUGGCCAAGCGAAAGCGAUAAGCCAUCCACCUGGGGAGUACGACCGCGAGGUUGAAACUCAAAUGAAUUGACGGGG